CCCUCCACUUUGCUAAUUCUUAGUUUCCACUCACUCACUGUCCAAAUUAAACCCUAUUUCCAUAAGGGCUUCCUCUUCUGGACUCCAUCACCACUGAUUGUGAAACCCUUCACACCGUCCAUCGUCAAUCACACACCGUCUCACGGCCAUCGACUUACCACCGUGCUCGUCGCGCCGUCAUCACUUCCGGUGGUCGUCGCGCUGUCAUCACUUCCCGUGGUCGUCGCGCGAUUCACCCUCGUUGUCGAGCCGUAUCAGUUCACCUUCGUCGUCGCCCCGUCGUCAGUUCUCUUCGUCGCCGCGCCGUCAUCGGUUCACUUUCAUCGUCGCGCAGUCAUCGGCGUGUCUAUGCUCUCUGGUGACAUUGCUCUGAUUUUGGUUGUCUUGCAUCAAUAUUAGGCCAUCUCCUUUUAUCUAAAGCAAGAGCACCAUUUUCAUCCCACCAUCCUCCGUCCUAUCCUGUGCUUGUAUCCAAGAUGUUGCAUAAUGUUUGGCUUGUCUCUUUUUCACAGUAAAGUUCCUUAAAUUGUAUCCAAGAUAAUUCUUCUUUAGCUACAGGUGAUGGAUAAGGAGUGGACGAAAUUUCCAAGGAUUAGUAAUGAGUAUAUAAAGGGUGUUGAAUCAUUUCUUGAUUUUGCUUACACAAGAGGAAGACCUCAAGGACAGUGCUGGGAAAAAGGAUGGAGAAGAAGUCAGUAGAGUUGAAAUGUUUAUAAAAACUCGCCAAGGUCGUCCUUGUAGGAAAGGAAAAGCAGUGGACAUAGAAACAUUGGAUACUAUUUCUAAGCUUGAAGGAUCUAUGCAAAACUCAUCAACUGAAAAUGUGGAAAAAACUUUUGAAUCAAUGUUUGGAAAAGAAAAGCCUGGUCGGGUUCGUUGUUAUGGAAGGACUGUGACCCCAUCAUUAUUUAAAAGAAAUCAAGAAAUUGCUGCAAUUAAAAAAGGAUAUGAUAUGAAAAUAGAUGGGAUGGCAAAAAGGAUUGAAGGUUUGGAAACAAUGAUGACACUCAUACUUAAGCAACAAAACCCUGAUUUGAAUGAGGGUGAUAUAGAACAUAUGAUGUCAUUAGCUUUUGGGAAAGAAAAUAGUGCCAUUGCUCCACGUUCAUCUGCUUCCACUCAUGUUCCUUGUUUUGACCAGGUAUAACAGCAUGCUAACAAUUUGCAUUCAAUGUUAUAAUUUGAGUACUUUGUGGUUAACCAUGCUUUCGCAUUCACAAUAUUUUGGUAAAAUAAAACAAUUAAAAUCACGCUAAUGGCACACACCAGACUCGAACCUAAGUCCUCUCAACAUAACCAUGUACUCUCAACCACUUAAGGCAGUUUUGCUCCUUACCUAGAACUUGUCAAUAAAUUCUCUUAGGGUACUUCCAACCCAUAAUUGUUCAUAAUUUAUUAAUUAUUCUUCAUUCCAAUU
Molecule: long non-coding RNA, 1417 nt
Organism: Vigna unguiculata (cowpea)
Lineage: Eukaryota; Viridiplantae; Streptophyta; Magnoliopsida; Fabales; Fabaceae
Source: RefSeq, a predicted model, not a curated record